Molecule: long non-coding RNA, 689 nt
Organism: Olea europaea var. sylvestris
Lineage: Eukaryota; Viridiplantae; Streptophyta; Magnoliopsida; Lamiales; Oleaceae
Exons: 2
Source: RefSeq, a predicted model, not a curated record
AGCUCAAGUGUGGGGAUUUAUUCAUUGCAAAUUUUCAGCAAGGUAUGGAGAUGUCAAAUUUUUGGGAAAACCCUAGAAUCCGAUUUUGGGGAUUUUAAUUAAUUAAUUGUGAAGUGAUUAUGUAAAUGAAAUAUUUCACUUGGGAAUUGAUUUUAUGGAACAAAUGUAUAUUAUGUGGGUGGAAUUGUGGUUACUAGUUUCAUUAGAUUGGAGAGUAAAAUUAGUUUUAAAUUUGAAAUGAUGGUUAUGUUGAUAAAUUAGUGAUUAACCAAGGGAUUAUAAGGUGUGAUUAGCUCCAAUUAAUAAAGGAAAAUUUGAGAAUUUAUUUAAGUACCAAGAGCAUUCAAAUUAAGUUCUAUUAUUAGAUAUUAAGGUUUCUCGAUUUGAUAGUGGAUAAAUUGGUUAUCAUUAUCGUAUUUCAGGAGGUAACGAGGCGAUUGGAAACGUCUAUCAGCCUAUCUAGCUUGUAGCUCAUAUCUUGAGAAGGUCAAUUUUGAGAUAUUUGGGAAAACCUGCUGAAGCAAAAGAGACCGUUUCAUAAGUAUGUAAUGAAUAGUUGGGGAACUUAUGUUUAUUAAGUAAUUGUCUAAUUUUGGGUGACAAGCAUAUUCGUAGAAGGGUUUGUAAGUUAUGUAAUACUUGCAUGUUGACAGGAUGAUGUUGUAGAAGCACUCAGUCAAAUUUUGUUA